AACGAACGCUGGCGGUAUGCCUAACACAUGCAAGUCGAACGAGACCUCCGGGACUAGUUGCGCUCGGGUGCGUCACGCGUGGGAACCUGCCCUUAGGCACGGAAUUACUCCUUGUCAGGGGUGCUAAUAUCGGGAAACGUCCUCGAAUAAAAGAUAUAUCGCAUUUGGAUGGGCCGGCGUUGGUUUAGCUUGUUGGGAGGGUAAAAGCCUACCAAGGCGACGCUCCAUAGCUGGGCUGAGAGAAUGAGCAGCGACACUGGGACUGAGACGCGGCCCAGACUCCUACGGGAUGCAGCAGUGGGGAAUAUAGGAAAAUGGGCGAAAGCCUGAACCAGCAAUGCCGCGUGAGUGAUGAAGUCCGGAGGGUAGUAAAGCUCGUUUACCCGGGAUGAUAAUGACAGUACCGGGAGAAUAAGCUCCGGCUAACUCCGUG
Molecule: ribosomal RNA, 433 nt
Filed under: uncultured bacterium
Lineage: Bacteria
Description: partial 16S ribosomal RNA
Rfam family: Bacterial small subunit ribosomal RNA
Source: RNAcentral